UACGUAGGGGGCAAGCGUUGUCCGGAUUUAUUGGGCGUAAAGGGCGCGUAGGCGGCCUGGCAAGUGGAAGGCGAAAUCCCUCGGCUCAACCGAGGAACUGCGCUUCAUACUGCAUGGCUUGAGGGAGACAGGGGUAAGCGGAACUGAUGGUGGAGCGGUGAAAUGCGUUGAUAUCAUCAGGAACACCGGUGGCGAAAGCGGCUUACUGGGUCUCUUCUGACGCUGAGGUACGAAAGCUAGGGUAGCGAACGGG
RNAcentral lists this ribosomal RNA (253 nucleotides) under uncultured bacterium. RNAcentral describes it as "partial 16S ribosomal RNA". It matches the Rfam family "Bacterial small subunit ribosomal RNA", at positions 524 to 776 of the family's 1533-position model. The record is from RNAcentral.